GCAUAAUAUCCGAUAGAGUUAGUGUGUCUUUGUUAGGCCAGUGUCUCAAUGAUAAAUCCUCUACAUUGUUUUCUAAUAUAUUUAAUUUACUUGUUCUAGGAAUUAGAUAAGUUAAGCCCAACAUUUUCUUAAUUUCGGCCCAUGUUUCCAAAGAGUGAGCCAACGAUAUUAAACAAUUAGGCAAAUCCCUUGAGAGCUUCCCAGGAUCUGACCAUAUAUAAGAAUAGAGACUAGAUGCAUGUAGAGCUUCAGAUUCCAUAUUAUACCAAGGUUCAGAAAAAAAAGUUCUGUUUGAUUUAGAUUUUCCUAUCCCCUGCUAUGUUAAUAGCUUGCUAGACCCUGCAAGAGCCUCCUGCAAGUUCAAUUUACAGAGAAAGAGAUACAAUUUUUUAAGGUAAAUUGCAUCUGAUUGAAGGCGAAAUCAUUUAUUUUUUUCAUGAAGGCUGUGUCAAUCAGAGCCAGGGGAGGUGUGGCAAGGGCUGCAUAAACAGAAACAAAGUGAUUUAACUCCUAAAUGGCAGUAAAUUGAACUUUGAAACCUGAGAAGCAUGAUCUAUACACUAAAACUGCUUCAUUAAGCUAAAGUUGCUU
Pelobates cultripes (western spadefoot toad) is the source of this 591-nucleotide non-coding RNA. NCBI's taxonomy places the organism in Eukaryota, Metazoa, Chordata, Amphibia, Anura, Pelobatidae. The record is from the annotation of a GenBank genome assembly.